Molecule: ribosomal RNA, 301 nt
Filed under: uncultured bacterium
Lineage: Bacteria
Description: partial 16S ribosomal RNA
Rfam family: Bacterial small subunit ribosomal RNA
Source: RNAcentral
CAGUCGCCGCGGUAAUACGAAGGGUGCAAGCGUUACUCGGAAUUACUGGGCGUAAAGCGUGCGUAGGUGGUGGUUUAAGUCCGUUGUGAAAGCCCUGGGCUCAACCUGGGAAUUGCAGUGGAUACUGGGUCAUUAGAGUGUGGUAGAGGAUAGUGGAAUUUCCGGUGUAACAGUGAAAUGCGUAGAGAUCGGAAGGAACAUCUGUGGCGAAGGCGACUAUCUGGGCCAACACUGACACUGAGGCACGAAAGCGUGGGGAGCAAACAGGAUUAGAUACCCCUGUAGUCCCUGUCUCUUAUAC